AUGGUUUGAGGAGGAAGGAAGGGCCUGUGAGGUGGGCCUCUCUGUUACUUUACUAAGCUUUUGCUGCUGACUGUACCUCAUUUCUCUGCAGUUGUAAGACUUACUCUUAGAGGAUUUUUGUCCCAGAAUGAAUAGUGCAGCGUAAGUUUGGUUGCUUUGACAUGUGGAAUCAUUGCCUUAAAGCAGUCUUCCCUCCGCACCCACAGACUGCACUACUGAGUGGCAAUUCUUUGCUUUUCUGCAGAGUGCAGGAAGCAGGAAUGGGCAUUGUGUACGCCGAGGAGGAAGUGUGACUUCUGUCCUAUUCGUUUCCCUCUGAAUUGCUGGCAUGGAGAGGUUAUCCAGGUAGCACUGCCCAAGUGCUGGGUAGUGAAAUGGAGAGAGGCCAGAGUGAAGAGGACUAUUGUGCAUGCAGGACUAGUAUCUUGUGAUGACAACAUUAUUACCUGGUAACGUUUAGAAUUGAAACAUUUUCAUGUUCCUGUUAAAUUGCCCAUCAUCAGUUCAAGCUCAUGACUUUAUCUUCUUCCUGCUCUAAUUAAUGAAUGUUGGCCUUCCAUUGUCACAAGUGCCUGCAUACAAAUUAUUGGCAUAUUGCGUGUACCCCUCAGGGAUGAGGUUGGGAAGGGCAAUUGCAAGCUGUAUUGUGACUGGCAAAGCAAUGUUGGCAUUUAUAACAUCAGCAACAGUAUACUGGAACAUGCUUCACCAAACUAAAGUGACGUUUAGUUGGCUAAAAAAGUGGUUAGGCAGGGAUGGCACGUACAAUUCUAUAUCUGCAAUUUGCUUCCUGCAUGUGAGUCUCAUGGCUGAUGAAUGAUGCUGUGAAAGUGAUUGUUACUUUGGAAGAUACUAUCAGUCUAGAUUGCAAGGUUGGUUCCAUGUUUCAAGGUCCUUCUUCUUAAUGUGUUUGCAAAGUUUGAUGGUUUAGGAGAACGAAAAAAUACUUCCACUUAUGAGAACUGAAAUGGUAAUAUGGCCAUAGAAAACAUCUCCAAACAACUCAGAAAUGAAACAUGAAGUCAACUGAGAAAAGCUGUGGUUGAAUCUGUGGGGGCCUAGCCAUUGGUCACUCCUGAACACCUGCUGCAUGCUAAAGGAAGUGUCUUGAUUGCUGCUUUUCACUAGAUGAAAAGCCAAGUGCGUUCUUUUCUAUGGUGCGCAGACUGCCCUCUUUUGGAUGUCAUUAGAACUGGCUUAAUUGUCAAGACUGCAGUACAAGUACUUGAAGUUCUGCUUUGCCUGUAGAAGCUGUUGAAUUUCCAUGGAUAGCUGUGGUGGGGCACCAUCUUGAUAUCAAAUUCUAUGUAGCUGUGGCUUUUCUAUGACAGUAAUAAUUGACAUUUUCCGUAGGGUAUGAAAUUAGUUGCAUUAAAGUUUUAAAUAUAUGCAAAUUGU
Aquila chrysaetos chrysaetos is the source of this 1398-nucleotide long non-coding RNA. RefSeq lists it as uncharacterized. The record is from RefSeq and is a predicted model, not a curated record. The transcript has 3 exons. NCBI's taxonomy places the organism in Eukaryota, Metazoa, Chordata, Aves, Accipitriformes, Accipitridae.